GACCUCGAUCGCCAAUCGCAAAUUGCCGUAGGCGGGCGGCGAGGUUGACCCGCGUGCGCCGCGCCCGCCUCCCCGCCCCUAGCCGGACCCCUUCCCAAGGCCCCACCCCACCCGCGAGACGCACCCGCGGCCCCACCGCUGCGGGGGCGGGGGCCCGGGAACUCGGGAACGACGGACCCGGGCAGCUUGGCCUGACCUAGACCUCGCCGCGCGGGCCCCACUGGCGCAGGCCCGGGCCGCGAGCCCCUCCCUCCACCUCUCCCCGCCCCCAGCGCCCAGCGCGGGCUGCACUAGGUGGCGUCGGCGGGGCCCCGCAGAUGGCCAUGGCGGCAGGCGCCGGGGCUAAGCCCGCGCCGCGCUGGCUGAGGGCGCUGGGCGAGCCGCUGAGCGCCGCGCAGCUGCGGCGGCUGGAGGAGCACCGCUACAGCGCGGCAGGCGUCUCGCUGCUCGAGCCGCCGCUGCAGCUCUACUGGACCUGGCUGCUCCAGUGGAUCCCGCUCUGGAUGGCCCCCAACUCCAUCACCCUGCUCGGGCUCGCCGUCAACAUGCUCACCACGCUCGUGCUCAUCUCCUACUGCCCCACCGCCACCGAGGAGGCACCAUACUGGGCAUACCUUUUAUGUGCGCUGGGACUUUUUAUCUACCAGUCACUGGAUGCUAUUGAUGGAAAACAAGCCAGAAGAACAAAUUCUUGUUCUCCUUUAGGGGAACUCUUUGACCAUGGUUGUGACUCUCUUUCCACAGUAUUUAUGGCAGUGGGAGCUUCAAUUGCCGCUCGCUUAGGAACUCAUCCUGACUGGUUGUUUUUCUGCUCUUUUAUUGGGAUGUUUGUGUUUUAUUGUGCUCAUUGGCAGACUUAUGUUUCAGGCGUGUUGAGAUUUGGAAAAGUGGAUGUAACUGAAAUUCAGAUAGCUUUAGUGAUUGUCUUUGUAUUGUCUGCAUUUGGAGGAGCAACAAUGUGGGACUAUACGAUUCCCAUUCUAGAAAUAAAAUUGAAGAUCCUUCCAGUUCUUGGCGUACUAGGUGGAGUAAUAUUUUCCUGUUCAAAUUAUUUCCAUGUUAUCCUCCAUGGUGGUGUUGGCAAGAAUGGAUCCACUAUAGCAGGCACCAGUGUCUUGUCACCCGGACUCCACAUAGGACUAAUUAUUAUACUGGCAAUAAUGAUCUAUAAAAAGUCAGCAACUGAUGUGUUUGAAAAACAUCCUUGUCUUUAUACCCUAAUGUUUGGAUGUGUUUUUGCUAAAGUCUCACAAAAAUUAGUGAUAGCUCACAUGACCAAAAGUGAACUGCAUCUUCAAGACACUGUCUUUUUGGGGCCAGGUCUUUUGUUUUUAGACCAGUACUUCAAUAAUUUUAUAGACGAAUAUGUUGUUCUAUGGAUAGCAAUGGUCAUUUCUUCAUUUGAUAUGGUGAUAUACUUUAGUGCUUUGUGCCUGCAAAUUUCAAGACACCUUCAUCUAAAUAUAUUCAAGACUGCAUGCCAUCAAGCUCCUGAACAGGUUCACAAGCAUACUGACUGACUAAUAGCCCAAGGAAAAGAGGAGAUGAAGUUAGGGGAAUCUAUGUGAAGGAAAUCCCCCCUGUGCAGGAGGUUCAAGUUCUUUCUUCAAAGAGUCAUCAGAAUAACAUGGAUUGAAGAGACUUCCGAACACAUGCUAUCUCUUGCUGCUGCUGUUUCAUGGAAGGAGAUAUUAAACAUUUGUUUAAUUUUUAGUUAACUGUUAUACCUAUUUCAGCAAAUAAAAUAUUUCAUUGCUUAUAUUAA
Callithrix jacchus (white-tufted-ear marmoset) is the source of this 1765-nucleotide RNA transcript. It is a transcript of the gene named choline phosphotransferase 1, with no coding region annotated. The record is from RefSeq and is a predicted model, not a curated record. Lineage: Eukaryota; Metazoa; Chordata; Mammalia; Primates; Cebidae.